This 2136-nucleotide long non-coding RNA is filed under the name Arabidopsis thaliana (thale cress). Its description in RNAcentral is "ncRNA (AT1G05562)". Lineage: Eukaryota; Viridiplantae; Streptophyta; Magnoliopsida; Brassicales; Brassicaceae. The record is from RNAcentral.
UGGCAAGGCUGAGUGGUUUUUUUUCUGUCAAAAGGUUUUGAUUUUUGUAAUAGAAAAUUACAAUAGGGCCGAAAGCCCAACAAGAAAACAAAACGAAAAGAGAUGGCCCAAUCACAAUACGGGCUCGCCUGAAACCUAAUCGGAAGAACAACGGAGGUAGAAAAUGGCUAAACGCCCAUCGAUCGAACACGCUUGCUUGGAGAGUCUCAAAAAGGUGAUUCAAUCAAACAUGUUUUGUAAUUGACCAUUAUUCAAAAAACAUAUUUAUCUAGAUGGAGUAAAUUUUAUGUUUUAAUUGAAUUUGAUAUUACAAAGUGACAGUAUUAGCAAAUAACACUCCGCCACUUCUAGACACCAACUCUUUUGUCCUUUAUUUACUUUACUUUUACCUCCUCUGCUUCACACAAGUUUUGAAUAAGAGAUUCUCCACAAAUAUCCUCCACAAAAGCCUCCAUGUUCUUAUCCGAAGAUCCUCCUUCUCUACCCGCUUCCAUCGCUAAACGCUUCCAUUUCUUUGCGUUUUCCCUCAACUCCACCGACUUCUCCUCCAUCACGGCUUCCAAACACCUCCUGAUCUCUCCUCUCUCCACCAAACCAUCCUUGUUCUCUCUUACCCUCACACCAGUCUUCCAACUUUCUUCCAGUAGCUUCGCGUUCGUCGGUUGAUCCGACCACAUCGGAAACGCCACAACCGGAACGCCAAGAACCAAACUCUCCAGCGUCGAGCUCCACCCACAAUGAGUCACAAAACAACCUACGGCUCGGUGACUUAAAACCUCUAUCUGCGAACACCACGACACAAUCAUCCCAACCUCUUCAAGCUCGUGUCUGAAUCCAGCUAUCUUCUCAAUCUCUGUCUCUUCUUCUCCUUCUGUUUUCGUUUCUCUGUUGGAUUUAUCAGUUAUAACCCACAAAAACGGUCGUUUCCCUUCUAUGAGUGCUCUCGCUAGUUCCUCUAUCUGUUUCUUGGACAACUCAACCAUUGUUCCAAAGGAAACGUAAAUAACAGAGGACUCUGUUUUCGAGUCUAGCCAAAGUGUAUAACUACUACUUUGAUCUUUAACUGAUUUGUUGGUGCUUCCUGAGAAAAUCUCCGUGGGAAGUAAAGGACCAACCGCCACCAUAUCGAUAUUCGGGAAAGCCGUUAAGGCCUCUGGUUCCAGCGAAUCGAAAGUGUUGAUGAGAAUUUUCGGUUUGGUUUCUUUUAUGAGAAACUCCAUCAUUUCUUGAAACGCAUCGUAUGCGCCUUUGUUUGUGUUGGAAGGUGUGAGGAAAGAUGGAAGAUCUCUGAUUUCCAGAGAAGACAGAUUAGGUAACUCGAAAACGGACUUGUUUCCCAUGAAAUGAGUGUAAUAGAUGUUGAAAACCAAAGCCGGUUGGAUCCAGAGAAGAGCGGAGGGAAGUUGAAAUCUACGUGCUACUUUUGGAGCCCAAUUGAGAAGAAUCGUGUAGAUCAAGCAAGUCACGGGAGAGUCACCAUUCUUAGUAGCUUCGAUGAAAUCCGAUAGUGCCUUAUCGCCGUUAACCUUGAGAUUCACCGACCUUUUCUGACGGUCUUCGUAGGUGGAAAUGCCUCCAUCGUCGAAACCGUCGGAGAAAGUAAGGAAAGAGAGAUUUUCGACUUUGUUGUGGUUUGCGAUCAUGGAGUUGUGGAAGACGGAGACACAAGUGACGAAAGUGACACGUGCGCCGGUUCUUUUGAUGAGCCGACGAGCAAAACGGAGAGAUGGGUUCACGUGACCUUGCGCCGGAAACGUUACCAGUAGAAAAUGCGGUGGCGCCAUUUUUUUUCUACUUGUCUUAGCUCCACUGAAGUGAGUAUCAAUACAAGAAUCUGUGUCUCUCCUUGUGGAUAUAUCUGUGCUUUCAUAUGUAUAUAUAUACAUAUAUAUAAAUAUAGAUGAGGAAUUGGAUUUUGAUGUCUGCACAUGCAUGCGUAUUCAUCAAACAUACGCAAAAUUGUACCACAUAACUUGUGACGUCUGCGAUGACGCUCACUAGAUAAACGCUUCAUCGUAUAAAUCCAAACUUGCGGUUGUUUUUUGCAGAUUUGAUGUUUACAUAUCAAUGAACAUACAAACAAAAACAACAUAUAGACAAUUUCAUUUCAGUCAUAUAAAAUAAGAGUGAAAAAGA